GAGAGUGUAGUUCAAUAGUAAAACAUGUGUUUAGCAUGCAUACGGCCCUGGGUUCAAUCCUCAGCACCA
Molecule: transfer RNA, 69 nt
Filed under: Heterocephalus glaber (naked mole-rat)
Lineage: Eukaryota; Metazoa; Chordata; Mammalia; Rodentia; Bathyergidae
Rfam family: tRNA
About the family: Transfer RNA (tRNA) molecules are approximately 80 nucleotides in length. Their secondary structure includes four short double-helical elements and three loops (D, anti-codon, and T loops). Further hydrogen bonds mediate the characteristic L-shaped molecular structure. tRNAs have two regions of fundamental functional importance: the anti-codon, which is responsible for specific mRNA codon recognition, and the 3' end, to which the tRNAs corresponding amino acid is attached (by aminoacyl-tRNA synthetases). tRNAs cope with the degeneracy of the genetic code in two manners: having more than one tRNA (with a specific anti-codon) for a particular amino acid; and 'wobble' base-pairing, i.e. permitting non-standard base-pairing at the 3rd anti-codon position.
Source: Rfam by way of RNAcentral